This 29-nucleotide non-coding RNA is filed under the name Rattus norvegicus (Norway rat). The record is from RNAcentral. Lineage: Eukaryota; Metazoa; Chordata; Mammalia; Rodentia; Muridae.
UGCUCAGUCUUCCACACGGCCUUUAAAGC